This is a ribosomal RNA of 537 nucleotides. It matches the Rfam family "Bacterial large subunit ribosomal RNA", at positions 1844 to 2584 of the family's 2925-position model.
UAUAAGAGGUCCAGCCUGCCCAGUGACACUGUUCAACGGCCGCGGUAUCCUAACCGUGCGAAGGUAGCGUAAUCACUUGUUCUUUAAAUGAGGACUAGUAUGAAUGGCAUCACGAAGAUUUUACUGUCUCCUUUUCCCAAUCAGUGAAACUAAUCUUCCCGUGAAGAAGCGGGAAUAAACAUAUAAGACGAGAAGACCCUAUGGAGCUUUAAACUAAAUUACAAUUGCCUAGAAUUCUUAAUUUCCCGAAUAUACUAUCUACCCAGGCAUUAUGAUAAUAAGUUUUAGGUUGGGGUGACCGCGGAGAAAAACUCAUCCUCCACAUUGAAUCAGAUUCAUUCUUUAGCUAAAAGCUACAUCUUAAAGCACCAAUAAAUUGACAUUAUUGACCCAAUAUUUUGAUCAACGAACCAAGUUACCCUAGGGAUAACAGCGCAAUCCACUUCAAGAGCCCCUAUCGACAAGUGGGUUUACGACCUCGAUGUUGGAUCAGGGUAUCCUAGUGGUGCAGCCGCUACUAAAGGUUCGUUUGUUCAA